RNAcentral lists this long non-coding RNA (334 nucleotides) under Prunus persica (peach). RNAcentral's name for it is "long non-coding RNA (PPER_LNC008461)". Lineage: Eukaryota; Viridiplantae; Streptophyta; Magnoliopsida; Rosales; Rosaceae. The record is from RNAcentral.
GAUGCACUUUGACUUAGUGCCUGCACAUUUUUUACCUUUGUGAAUGAUGAGCUGUCCCAAUUGUUAAUAAUAUCUGCACGCUUUGAAUGCUUCGAAGGAACAUAAGAAAAAGACUCUGCAUCACUCAAAGUCAAGACUCAACUAGGGCAAAAUACAUCUAGUCUAGGCAUCAUCUUCAUAAAGGUUUAGAAGUUUGGAUCACCAAUGAAGGACUUCAAGAAGCAUAUAUCAUCAUUCAUGGGCUUGUGAAUUAUUUGAUUGUAUACACGUUUGUAGCAUUCUUCCUUCGAGUACUUGAUAGCGAAUUGUGUCACAUUCCGAAAUCAACUCCGCC